RNAcentral lists this long non-coding RNA (1553 nucleotides) under Androctonus crassicauda. Lineage: Eukaryota; Metazoa; Arthropoda; Arachnida; Scorpiones; Buthidae. The record is from RNAcentral.
GAAACGUUGGUGGUUUGUAUCUAAUUUUGUAAUAUUUCUAACGAAUUUUUUGAUACAAUUAAAUUCUUUUUAGAAACUGUUAAAAAUUAAAGAAAAUUCCAGUUAGUAAUUGUUAAGAUAAAAAGAAACAUGGUAGAAGUCCAAGGACAGUUGACCAGUUUUAAUAUACUGUAUAGAGUUAAAAACUAGUCAUGCACGACAGAUUUAUUGCAAGAAAUUAUUAAUUCACAGUAAAGAAACUAUCAUAAAGAAAAAUGUUUCUUUUUCUUUUUCCUCGAUUUCGCAGAAAACAUAAUCAUUAAGGUGGACGAUGAUAUAUCGAAAAUCUUUCAUUUCAAUAUAAGUAAAAAAUGGCGCACUUUUAUCGACAUGGUUACAAGUUUUUUUGUUUGUAGAUUCUGUGAAUACUUUUGUGACAUAAUACUUUAGCAUGCGAGCGAUGUAGUAUUUAAUUUGGGUUGUACACACGACAUACAACGUGUGAGAUUAAUAUGUUUAAAUGCAGGAUCUGUAUUAAUAUGGUGGAAGAAAAAACGUGGAAAGGCGUACAGAACGUGACGAGAUGUUAACUUAUAAUAAGCUUUCUUUACAAUACACACGUAAAAAUCUGUAUUUUUUAAAAGUAGAUAGGUCAGAGGAUAAGGUAGACUACUUUAUCCUUGAAAUGUUGAACUCGAAAUACAAGUUCUUCGAAGGUUUGUUCUCUUCAAUGACUCCCGUAUAAAUUGAAUGUGACUCUAUUACAGAUCGACUCGUUACCCACGUAACUGCUUUUUUCGGUGCACUCAUUUACUCUCUAAAAAUCUUUAAAUAUUUCUAAAAAAAUCGGCAUUUGCAUCUAACAUAUUUUAUAACAUAUUUAUUACUUUGAAACACGUGUAAUGUUUAGAAAUGCAAAAUAGAAAUUCGGUACUGAAUAUCGAUUGAUGGUCUGAAUAUAUCUGUUUGUUAGAUUCGUACGUUGCAUGGGAAUUUGCUAUGAUUCUUAGCCGAUGCCUGAACGUUCGAUCAUAAAUGCACUUUAUCAAAUCAAUUAUAUUUGCAAGUUUAUGCUAUUACGGUGAUAAUUUCCUGUUUUAAACUGUCGACAGCUCCGUGAUUUGCAUUUUCUGCUUUUACGAAUGCCGCUAGAUAUUCGGGAUAAUUGAGGAUCUUAGCAUCGGAAUUUUAGUCAUUUUACGAGCCAAAUCGUUUUAAAACAUUACUCCAGAAGAAAAGAUUAGGAGCGAAUACUUUCUUAAUGCUUAAAAAAAAAUUAGUUCUUUAUUUUUCUGGUCAUACAGAGAUUUCCUUCCUAGAUAAGAUGCGAGUCAUAAAUAUACGUUUUUGUCUACAGCCUGGCGUGGCAGAAGUAGAAUUUCAAGAGAUGUAUAACGUCCGAUUAGAAAGUAACAAAAAAAAAGCAGUUUUAUGCAAAGUUAAGAAUUUAUAUUCCACGGAGGACGACAUUUUUGAAACUAACCUAAAGCUAUCACAAUUAUGUUUGGAAAAAUAGAGUAAAUAACUUAGAAUUAAUUAAGUUUAAGAAUAGCCUUGUUAACCGCGUAUAUAGG